GAUGAACGCUAGCGAUAGGCUUAACACAUGCAAGUCGCGGGGCAGCACAAGGUAGCUUGCUAUCUGGGUGGCGACCGGCGCACGGGUGCGUAACGCGUAUGCAACUUGCCCUAUACAGGAGGAUAACCCGUCGAAAGACGGACUAAUACUGCGUAUGCUCACAACUUGGCAUCAAGUGGUGAGGAAAGAAAUUCGGUAUAGGAUAGGCAUGCGUCCCAUUAGCUUGUUGGUGAGGUAACGGCUCACCAAGGCAACGAUGGGUAGGGGAACUGAGAGGUUUAUCCCCCACACUGGUACUGAGACCCGGACCAGACUCCUACGGGAGGCAGCAGUGAGGAAUAUUGGUCAAUGGGCGCGAGCCUGAACCAGCCAAGUCGCGUGAAGGAUGACUGUCUUAUGGAUUGUAAACUUCUUGUAUACGGGAAUAACAAGAGUCACGGGUGACUCCCUGCAUGUACCGGAUGAAUAAGCAUCGGCUAACUCCGUG
Molecule: ribosomal RNA, 487 nt
Filed under: uncultured bacterium
Lineage: Bacteria
Description: partial 16S ribosomal RNA
Rfam family: Bacterial small subunit ribosomal RNA
Source: RNAcentral